Molecule: long non-coding RNA, 423 nt
Filed under: Helianthus annuus (common sunflower)
Lineage: Eukaryota; Viridiplantae; Streptophyta; Magnoliopsida; Asterales; Asteraceae
Source: RNAcentral
UCUAAAGUACUAUUUGUUCAUGCUUGAGGUUGUUUUCACCAAACUUGGGUUUUUCCCCAAAUAAGCUGGCAUGACUCUUCAACUUACUUAUAUAUAUAUAUCGCCAAUGAACUCAAAACUAUAUGUCCGUAGACUUGAAGGUUGACGAGAUCCAACAAAUCUUCUCCACUAAGUCAUGUUAAUGAAACAGUGAUCCCGAUUAAUUUACGUAAUUUAUAAAAAGAGGGAAGACAAGGUUGUGAACAGAAAGGGAAAGUGAAAUUAGAUUUACAGAUUUACUUGUGAACACAAGUUGUGAGGAAAGGUUUGAUUGUCAAAAAUUCGGUAACGCAAUGGGCAAUGUGAAGAGUAUAUGGUCCAAAAGAGAAGAGUGUCCGAAUAUUGCUAAUGGUGAAACAAGCUCAAGCACGAACUCACCUUUUG